RNAcentral lists this ribosomal RNA (530 nucleotides) under uncultured bacterium. Its description in RNAcentral is "bacterial SSU rRNA". It matches the Rfam family "Bacterial small subunit ribosomal RNA", at positions 979 to 1509 of the family's 1533-position model. The record is from RNAcentral.
CCUUGACGUCCAGAGAACUUAGCAGAGAUGCUUUGGUGCCUUCGGGAACUCUGAGACAGGUGCUGCAUGGCUGUCGUCAGCUCGUGUUGUGAAAUGUUGGGUUAAGUCCCGNAACGAGCGCAACCCUUAUCCUUUGUUGCCAGCGGUUCGGCCGGGAACUCAAAGGAGACUGCCGGUGAUAAACCGGAGGAAGGUGGGGAUGACGUCAAGUCAUCAUGGCCCUUACGGCCAGGGCUACACACGUGCUACAAUGGCGCAUACAAAGAGAAGCGACCUCGCGAGAGCAAGCGGACCUCAUAAAGUGCGUCGUAGUCCGGAUUGGAGUCUGCAACUCGACUCCAUGAAGUCGGAAUCGCUAGUAAUCGUAGAUCAGAAUGCUACGGUGAAUACGUUCCCGGGCCUUGUACACACCGCCCGUCACACCAUGGGAGUGGGUUGCAAAAGAAGUAGGUAGCUUAACCUUCGGGAGGGCGCUUACCACUUUGUGAUUCAUGACUGGGGUGAAGUCGUAACAAGGUAGGCGUAGCGAG